RNAcentral lists this non-coding RNA (140 nucleotides) under Chloroflexota bacterium. The record is from RNAcentral. Lineage: Bacteria; Bacillati; Chloroflexota.
AUAGAAAGAUAGGUUCCAGGCGCCCUACCCCCGGAUGGGAGGGCAUAAAGGCGAAGCCGGUGAGAGUCCGGCGCUGUCCCGCAACUGUAAUCCGCUGAUCAGCGGAAAGCCAGGUCGACUGCCUGAAACCCUGCACCCAC